CGAACGCUGGCGGCGUGCUUAACACAUGCAAGUCGCACGGAAAGGCCCUGCUUUUGUGGGGUGCUCGAGUGGCGAACGGGUGAGUAACACGUGAGUAACCUGCCCUUGACUUUGGGAUAACUUCAGGAAACUGGGGCUAAUACCGGAUAGGAGCUCCUGCUGCAUGGUGGGGGUUGGAAAGUUUCGGCGGUUGGGGAUGGACUCGCGGCUUAUCAGCUUGUUGGUGGGGUAGUGGCUUACCAAGGCUUUGACGGGUAGCCGGCCUGAGAGGGUGACCGGCCACAUUGGGACUGAGAUACGGCCCAGACUCCUACGGGAGGCAGCAGUGGGGAAUAUUGCACAAUGGGCGGAAGCCUGAUGCGGCAACGCCGCGUGCGGGAUGACGGCCUUCGGGUUGUAAACCGCUUUCGCCUGUGACGAAGCGUGAGUGACGGUAAUGGGUAAAGAAGCACCGGCUAACUACGCG
Molecule: ribosomal RNA, 466 nt
Filed under: uncultured bacterium
Lineage: Bacteria
Description: partial 16S ribosomal RNA
Rfam family: Bacterial small subunit ribosomal RNA
Source: RNAcentral